GGAUUAGAUACCCUGGUAGUCCACGCCCUAAACGAUGUCAACUAGUUGUUGGGAGCCUUAAUAGCUCUUGGUGACGAAGCUAACGCGUUAAGUUGACCGCCUGGGGAGUACGGCCGCAAGGUUGAAACUCAAAGGAAUUGACGGGGGCCCGCACAAGCGGUGGAGCAUGUGGUUUAAUUCGAUGCAACGCGAAGAACCUUACCAGCCCUUGACAUCCUCGGAAUUUGGCAGAGAUGCCUUAGUGCCUUCGGGAACCGAGUGACAGGUGCUGCAUGGCUGUCGUCAGCUCGUGCCG
RNAcentral lists this ribosomal RNA (295 nucleotides) under uncultured bacterium. RNAcentral describes it as "partial 16S ribosomal RNA". It matches the Rfam family "Bacterial small subunit ribosomal RNA", at positions 775 to 1067 of the family's 1533-position model. The record is from RNAcentral.